CAGGCUUGCUUUUUAUAUCAAGUGCUCAUAUCACAGCAGUUUGUUUGCUCAUGCUUUUCCUGUGCAACAUACUCUGUAGGGUCUGCUUUAGCAGAGGGUUGGACUAGAUGAUGUUCAGAGGUCCCUUCCAACCCCUACAAUUCUGAUUCUGCAUGACUCUGAAGCUGAGCCUCCCUAGCCUUACUUGGUGUGUUGCUCACACAGGUGCUGCGUCUGGGCUCUGGGAGGCAGAAAAGAGGUACACUUCUGGGGAACAAAUUAGAUCAGAAACAAGCCUCGUGGCUGUCUGGCAUUUGUUAAGGAUGAGCAUUAUUUCUGCCUCUUCAGAACAUGGAGCUUGGCAGCUGCUCCAGCUCUUCAGCACCGUCAGUCUGAGGACAUCAGAUAGAACACAGCCAUCCGCAGCAGUUACAGCUACUGCAAAAUCAAAGGUACCUCAGGGUCCCCACUCUUCCUGGGAAUGCUACGAUAUCCCUCUCCUCAUGCCCAGAAGGUUAAACUUCUGUUGUUUAUUGGUUGAUUAGAAAGUAAUCCUGGUUAGUCUUUCUCUUCGUUAUUUACCACCACUCUUUCAGUCUUGCCAUCAACCUUCUUCAUCACUAAUGACUUUAGUUUUCUCUCCAUGUCACUAAGGAGUGGUAAAGUGUAGGGCUGAAAACUGGACAAGUGCUAGGGACACUUCUGCUCACUGAGAUCUCCCUUUCUAUGUUUUGUAGUGAAUCUGUCAUCUGUGGUGAUCUGUCAUCUAUCAGCUUGCCCUUCUUAAAGCAUGGAUAUGUGCCAAGCUGACUCUUUUUGGUGUUGUCCUAGCAUCUCCAUCAAAAUGUCAUGAAGAUAUCAAGUCCAGUACAUUUGUAAAAAUAUAUAUUACCUCAGUACUAUUAUACUUAUUGGAAGCUCUAAUUUUAUUUAGAGAAAAGAUGUCAAAUUAGUUUGUGGAGCUCUGUUUUCCAUAAAACUAUGCUGCUCAAUUCUAUUACCUUCCUUUAAUUUUUAAUGGAUUAAUUCCUGUAUCUGUUCCUCCA
Molecule: long non-coding RNA, 1025 nt
Filed under: Numida meleagris (helmeted guineafowl)
Lineage: Eukaryota; Metazoa; Chordata; Aves; Galliformes; Numididae
Description: lncRNA (ENSNMEG00000000763.1)
Source: RNAcentral